CCUACGGGUGGCUGCAGUGGGGAAUAUUGGACAAUGGGGGCAACCCUGAUCCAGCGAUGCCGCGUGUGUGAAGAAGGCCUACGGGUUGUAAAGCACUUUCGGUAGUGAGGAGAGGGCGGAUGUGAAUAACAACCGCAAGAGACGUUAGCUACAGAAGAAGCACCGGCUAACUCUGUGCCAGCAGCCGCGGUAAUACAGAGGGUGCGAGCGUUAAUCGGAAUGACUGGGCGUAAAGGGUACGUAGGCGGACUGAUGAGUUAGCUGUGAAAUACCUAGGCUUAACCUGGGGACUGUCAGCUAAUACCGUUGGACUAGAGUACAGUAGAGGUAAGUGGAAUUUCCGGUGUAGCGGUGAAAUGCGUAGAUAUCGGAAGGAACACCAGUGGCGAAGGCGGCUUACUGGACUGAGACUGACGCUGAGGUACGAAAGCGUAGGUAGCGAACAGGAUUAGAUACCCCUGUAGUC
RNAcentral lists this ribosomal RNA (466 nucleotides) under uncultured microorganism. Its description in RNAcentral is "bacterial SSU rRNA". It matches the Rfam family "Bacterial small subunit ribosomal RNA", at positions 338 to 795 of the family's 1533-position model. The record is from RNAcentral.